Molecule: ribosomal RNA, 274 nt
Filed under: uncultured bacterium
Lineage: Bacteria
Description: partial 16S ribosomal RNA
Rfam family: Bacterial small subunit ribosomal RNA
Source: RNAcentral
CUACGGAGGGUGCUAGCGUUACUCGGAUUCACUGGGCUUAAAGCGCAUGUAGGCGGUCCCAUAAGUUUUUUGUGAAAUCCCCCGGCUCAACCGGGGAACUGCAAAGGAUACUGUGGGACUAGAGGUCGGUAGGGGAGAGUGGAACUCCUGGUGGAGCGGUGAAAUGCGUAGAUAUCAGGAGGAACACCGGUGGCGAAGGCGACUCUCUGGAACGAUCCUGACGCUGAGAUGCGAAAGCCAGGGGAGCGAACGGGAUUAGAAACCCCUGUAGUCC